GUGUCAGCAGCCGCGGUAAUACGUAGGGGCCAAGCGUUGUCCGGAAUUAUUGGGCGUAAAGAGCUCGUAGGCGGUUCGGUAAGUCGGGUGUGAAAUCUCCACGCUCAACGUGGAGGGGCCACUCGAUACUGCCGUGACUAGAGUCCAGUAGGGGAGUGUGGAAUUCCCGGUGUAGCGGUGAAAUGCGCAGAGAUCGGGAGGAACACCAGCGGCGAAGGCGGCACUCUGGGCUGGUACUGACGCUGAGGAGCGAAAGCGUGGGGAGCGAACAGGAUUAGAAACCCUCGUAGUCC
This 293-nucleotide ribosomal RNA is filed under the name uncultured bacterium. RNAcentral's name for it is "partial 16S ribosomal RNA". It matches the Rfam family "Bacterial small subunit ribosomal RNA", at positions 505 to 796 of the family's 1533-position model. The record is from RNAcentral.